Molecule: ribosomal RNA, 349 nt
Filed under: uncultured bacterium
Lineage: Bacteria
Description: bacterial SSU rRNA
Rfam family: Bacterial small subunit ribosomal RNA
Source: RNAcentral
GAUGAAUGCUGGCGGCGUGCUUAACACAUGCAAGUCGAGCGGUAAGGCCCCUUCGGGGGUACGACGAGCGGCGGACGGCUGAGUAACGCGUGGGAACAUGCCCCAAAGUGAGGAAUAAGCUCCAGAAAUGGAGUCUAAUGCCGCAUAUGAUCUUAGGAUUAAAGGAUUUAUCCGCUUUGGGAGUGGCCUGCGUACGAUUAGGUAGUUGGUGAGGUAAUGGCUCACCAAGCCUACGAUCGUUAGCUGGUCUGAGAGGAUGACCAGCCAGACUGGAACUGAGACACGGUCCAGACUCCUACGGGAGGCAGCAGUGAGGAAUAUUCCACAAUGGGCGAAAGCCUGAUGGAGC